This is a long non-coding RNA of Tribolium castaneum (red flour beetle), 1547 nucleotides long. RefSeq lists it as uncharacterized. NCBI's taxonomy places the organism in Eukaryota, Metazoa, Arthropoda, Insecta, Coleoptera, Tenebrionidae. The transcript has 6 exons. The record is from RefSeq and is a predicted model, not a curated record.
GUUUUGGCGUCGGGGCGGCUGUGCUUGGCGCCUCUUCGGUUUUUUGUGUUGGUGUCGGUGGUGGUUGUUCCAUGGGAGUCUCGUCAUUUUUGCUGAAAUAACAUGAUGCCUAAUGUUACUGCACCAUGUAAGAAAUUUAAAUUGCGACUACAAGUUUUCAAAUUUAUUUGAUUUAUUCCACGAUGACAAAUAUCAAAGAACAAUUGAGGAAAGACUCAAAUUUUGUAUCAUUCGUCACAGCAUUCUUUUAUCGAUUCUAAAUAAGGUCAGAAAUGAGUUGCAACAUUUUAUCGUCAUUUUUGCCACCACGGGAGCUGUACUGUUCAUAAGUAUUGCAGUAUUUUGCUACUCAUUUGAGGGAAAUUUGCGAAAUGAAUAUAAGUCACUAUUGCUUUUGGUUCUCAUAGGAGCACUUACUUGUGGUCACGUGGUGGUCUCUGGCCAGUUGAUUGAAAACGUUACUUUUGAUCAUUACGAAAUUCUACGAACUGUUGAGUGGGAUUGUUGGAAUACUAGAAACAAAAACUUGUUUGUUAUUUAUUUGCAAAACUCACGAGAAAUUUUCAAAAUCAGAUUUACAGAAAAUUUGUCUGUUAAUUUUUUAUUAGGUAUUUCCAUUGUCAGAGCUCUUUUUACCGCCUUUUCCCUCAUGAGACAACUACAGUUAUCAAGAAAAGAAUAAAUAAAUAAAUAAAAUAAAAUAAGGGAACAUAUUUUCUACAAAAGAAAGAAGACUCGAAAUACAAGGUGACCCAGGAGUGUGAAAUCGGUCUACAACUUUUUUGGAAAAAAAAAUUGAAAUAUUGUUAUGCUGUUUUUAUUAUCCGGUAGAUUGACUUAUAAUUGGAAUAAUUGGAAUCUACGCAAAAAAAUAAUGUAACUUUAUAAAAGCUAAUAUGGGUCUAUCUUUUUUGUUUUGGAAUUAUGUACUUUCUUUUUCGUUGAAAAAUCACUGCAAAGUCGCCUGUGAGUAUUUUCCGGCAAAUUUGCAACAGAAAAGUUCAGAAUACCUUGCAGUUUUAGCAAAUAAACGAUUUUUAGUAAAAGCACGCUAAUAAUAUACAGAGUGUGCCAAAACGCAAAAAGUUGAAUAACUCAUUUUUUCAAAUAGAACAUCCUGUAUUUUUUAUGUAUCAAUGACAUUUUUGAUAAGCUUUCUAAGAGUAUGGAGCUUGCAUAGCAAAUUUAAAAUAUUUUUCAAGAUUUAAAAAAUAUAUAUGUUAUUACAAGAAAAUUUGUUAUCCUAGAAUCUGAUAAGUCAAAUGGUAAUUUAUUUUUGGAUAGGUACUAAUGUGACUAAUUACAUUAGUAAUCUAAUUAUUACUUGGUACAUAAAUGAAUUUUGCUCAUCAAGAAAUAAUGAUAAAAUAAAUAAAAAAAGAAAUUUUUCUUUACACUUUAAGAAAUAUUUCAAAUUUGCUGUACAAACCGCAUAUCGUUAAAAAGCAUAUAAAAAAUGCUAUCGAUACCUGUAACGAAAUACAUGUCGUUUUAUUAAAAAAAAAUGAGUUAAUCAACUUUUUGCUUUUUGGCAUAUUAUCUGCGUG